Molecule: long non-coding RNA, 390 nt
Organism: Manis pentadactyla (Chinese pangolin)
Lineage: Eukaryota; Metazoa; Chordata; Mammalia; Pholidota; Manidae
Exons: 3
Source: RefSeq, a predicted model, not a curated record
AAGCCAGGGCUCCGUAACGCACCCUUUUUGACAGCUCUGGAGUCCCAGGGAUGGCCGGCCCACGGCCAGUAGCCCAGGACACUUUGCCACGGACGCUUUGUCACUGCAAACUCUCCUGGGAACCCCCCUGACUGGGCUCCAGGAUGUAUUCCAGAAAAUGGAAUCGCAGGUCGAAGCACGCCCAGGUGAGCAAGCAAAGAACAGGAAUCCUUUCAGGAGUGACCACAAGGACCGCCAGGCAAGCUCCACGCCCUUUGACGUGCACCGAAGAGGAGGAAACAACAUGUGAUGGAUAUUAACCACACAAGUUCCAACUCACUCUUUUUAAUAGCUGCACUAUUCCACACUGGGGACGUAUUCCUGCCCCUACCAGUCCCCAAGUGAUGGGCA